CCUACGGGUGGCUGCAGUGGGGAAUAUUGGACAAUGGGCGCAAGCCUGACCCAGCAAUGCCGCGUGAAUGAAGAAGGCUCUCGGGUUGUAAACUUCUUUUAUCAGGGACGAAGCAAGUGACGGUACCUGAUUAAUACGCCACGGCUACCUACGUGCCAGCAGCCGCGGUAAUACGUAGGUGGCAAGCGUUAUCCGGAUUUACUGGGUGUAAAGGGCGUGUAGGCGGGAAAGCAAGUCAGAUGUGAAAACCAUGGGCUCAACCUGUGGCCUGCAUUUGAAACUGUUUUUCUUGAGUACGGGAGAGGCAGACGGAAUUCCUAGUGUAGCGGUGAAAUGCGUAGAUAUCAGGAGGAACACCAGUGGCGAAGGCGGUCUGCUGGACAGCAACUGACGCUGAGGUGCGAAAGCGUGGGGAGCAAACAGGAUUAGAUACCCUAGUAGUC
RNAcentral lists this ribosomal RNA (443 nucleotides) under uncultured bacterium. Its description in RNAcentral is "partial 16S ribosomal RNA". It matches the Rfam family "Bacterial small subunit ribosomal RNA", at positions 338 to 795 of the family's 1533-position model. The record is from RNAcentral.